AGUCACUACGAGUUUGAUCCUGGCUCAGAUUGAACGCUGGCGGCAUGGCUAAUGCAUGCAAGUCGAACGAAAGCCCUUCGGGGCGAAAGUGGCGAAAGGGCGAGUAAUACGAUCGAACGUACCCCAAGGUGGAGGAUAGUGUCGGGAAACUGACGGUAAUACUCCAUGUGCUCUUCGGAGGAAAGCUUUGGCGCCUCGGGAGCGGCGAUCGUCCUAUCAGGUAGUUGGUGAGGUAAUGGCUCACCAAGCCGAAGACGGGUAGCGGGUGUGAGAGCAUGACCCGCCGCAUCGGGACUGAGACACUGCCCGGACUCCUACGGGAGGCUGCAGCGACGAAUCUUCCGCAAUGGGCGCAAGCCUGACGGAGCAAUGCCGCGUGUGGGACGAAGCGUCUUCGACGUGUAAACCACUGUCAGAAUCUAGGAACACUGACCAGAUUCAAAGGAAGGGCCGGCUAACCUCGUG
This 465-nucleotide ribosomal RNA is filed under the name uncultured bacterium. RNAcentral describes it as "bacterial SSU rRNA". It matches the Rfam family "Bacterial small subunit ribosomal RNA", at positions 1 to 507 of the family's 1533-position model. The record is from RNAcentral.